AGCGCCUUGGAGUAGAUGGUCAACUCGCCGGGCUCAUAACCCGGAGAUCGCGUGGUUCAAGUCCCGCAGGCGCUA
This 75-nucleotide transfer RNA is filed under the name Methanobacteriota archaeon. RNAcentral's name for it is "Euryarchaeota archaeon tRNA-Met". It matches the Rfam family "tRNA". From Rfam's summary of the family: Transfer RNA (tRNA) molecules are approximately 80 nucleotides in length. Their secondary structure includes four short double-helical elements and three loops (D, anti-codon, and T loops). The record is from RNAcentral. Lineage: Archaea; Methanobacteriati; Methanobacteriota.